This 635-nucleotide ribosomal RNA is filed under the name Raeticella biconica. Its description in RNAcentral is "Trochulus biconicus partial 12S ribosomal RNA". The record is from RNAcentral. Lineage: Eukaryota; Metazoa; Mollusca; Gastropoda; Stylommatophora; Hygromiidae.
GAUUUUGUUACGGUUUAUGUAUUUACAAUUCGGUUUAUAACAAUGGAAUUUAUAGAGUACCCAGUUAAGAAAUUUUUUUCUGUUGAGAAAUCAAGCUAAAGAAACCGUUAUAUUUAAGGCAAAGGUAGUGCCAGCAGCCGCGGUCAUACUAUCUUAGAGAGUAAAUAAAAUUAGUAAAAAAAAAAUAAAAAAAAUAUACAACUAUAGUGAAAUAUAUUGUGUAUCUACACAAUAUAUAUUGAAAAGGAAAUAAAGACCAAUAAUCAAACAAGGAUUAGAGACCCUUUUAUGAGGUAGAUAAAAAUCUUUACAGGGGAUUAAAGUAAAUGUUAACCUAAACUCAAACAACAUGGCGGUAAUUUUAAAUCUUAGGGGAACUUACCUAUUAAAUGAUAACCACCAAGAAUAACUACUUUAGAUAUAAAUUUUGUAUGCCGUCGUCUAGAUUAAAUAUAGUAUUUAAUCAUAUAGUUAUAUGACUAAAUGACAGAUCAUGGUGCAGACAAUUCUGAAGAUAAGGCGAGUUACAAUAGUAAAUUACAUCCUAUUUUAAUAAUUAUAAACAACUGAAAUAGUUGGACUUAAAAGUAAGAACUUUAUUAUAGUUAUAAUCUGAAUUAAAUAUAAAAUUGUGC